Cephus cinctus (wheat stem sawfly) is the source of this 2251-nucleotide long non-coding RNA. RefSeq lists it as uncharacterized. The transcript is spliced from 3 exons. The record is from RefSeq and is a predicted model, not a curated record. NCBI's taxonomy places the organism in Eukaryota, Metazoa, Arthropoda, Insecta, Hymenoptera, Cephidae.
UGUCAUGCUUGUAUUCUUAGAACGUUGUGAGUAUAUUAUUUUGUUAUUUAGGUAAUUUCAUAAAUUCAUACAUAAAUAUAACAAUGGGAUGCUGUGAGUUUGUAGAAUUUUAUGGAACUCCUUAAAAUUGGGUAUAACAGCUCUUGGUAUAUAAUAUAUUGUGGUAUUGUGGUACCUAAGGUAUAAUAUAUGAAAGUUCGGAUGAUACGAGGUUGCACGUUUACAAUUAUUCAUAAAUCAAUGUUUAAUUGACGAAAUCGAUGGAUUCUCAAUUUCGCCGCGACGAGGGGGAUUUGACGGAGGCUCCACCGAGAAACUAACAAGUAAAUUCGCAACUCUCGAGGACAAGGAUGGGAGGAGUAGGUAUUCUAUUCCUGGCGAUCGAUCGAGACGAGGUCGUUGGUUUCUGACGGUGGAUAUUCAUGAAAUUCCAGCAUCAAAUAAUGGAAAAGGUCCCUACUGAAAAGUGGAAUGGUUAUGAAAUCAAUAAAAAAGACAACAAAAUUGUUGAAGAGGAUGAAAAUUAUUAAAAAUAAAUUUUUAAUUAAAAAAAAUUUCUUUUUAUCAAUGCAACCUUUGCAGGUUAGGUGAUGGAGAAGAGGAAAAUUUAUAAGUGGAAGAAUCUUACUUGGAAGUCUGACAAAAUAGCAUUGAUUAUUUUUCAUAUACUUUGCGUGUGCACGAGUUAGCUGCGACUGUCGCUACAUGUGUACAGUGCCUUCUCGAUUAUCUUUACUGACUCACUCUGCCAGGAUUGUCUUCCUCUUCGUUCUGUCGCAAGAAAGGGAAAACAUGCAAGAAAAAAAUGUAAAAAAAUAUCCUAAUUCGCGUUUCUUUCUCGCUUAAGAAUCGAUAUGUACUCCAUUAACCAGUCGCAGUCACGUAAAAGAAUUUUAUUCGGUUUUCGAUUUUGAAUUUCCCGCCGAAUAAGAAAUCGUUACGUAAGUACGCCGUAUCCGACGUGCUUUAGGCGUAAAUCACGCGGAAUAUAUACUCACUCGAUAGCGUCAAUAUGUAAAUUUGACGUAAGCAAUAUUUACGUAUGAUUAUAUAAAACUUGAAAAUAUUACCAAUUUGUAGAUUAGGAUCAUUGAAGUUUAUACCAAAGUCAAAGUUUCUACGUCUGGUAAAGCAGCGGCGUGAGACGAGACUCGACGCGACAUUUUUCGCGGGACUAAUUCCACGUCGAUUUAGAAACGGGAACUGUACGAUGGGAAUUGUCAGAUUGUCGUAUGGCUUCUGUACCAUCCGUUCCGUUUCACUGUCUACCGUGACCGUUUCCGUUCCGUUCCGGUCCCGGAUGUCAGUGACCGGAAAAAUAAGUUAUAGCCACGAUUAUCAACCGCACUUUGUAUCCUUCUAGAAACACGUACGCAUAUACAGAUGUUGUGAUAAACUAUUAAAGAAACCUCUGUUAGUUCGUACGACUCAAUGUAAAUCCCCAGGCUGUGUAAAUAGUUGAGAAAUGGCAAAAUCCCCAGGACAAACGGAAUUCGAAGAAAUAUUACAUUUUUUCAAGACCUUCGUCUAUCAUACGUGCCAGAGAAUUAAUUCCGGCAGUUCGUCUCGUCGUCACUCUGAUUCGCCCGUCUGCAGAACGACGACUGGAAUUGAAUACAAGAACAAAAUCACCAAGCGUGUCAUUCAACGUAGCCAGCACAAAAAGAAAAGAGGAUCCGUACCAAGAGAAUUCACUCAGCAACCAGUCAAACUGUUCAGCGAUGCAUCGUACCUAAAUAUUAAUCCUUCCUUUGAUCCUGCACGCGUACCACUGUUGUGACAUUGAAAAGAAUGUACACUGGUCCAGAUAACGAGCUCGUGUCACUAAUUAUCGUUCGCUCGGUAAAUUUUCCUAUUUGGGUACAGUGAACAAUAACUAGGUAGACAUCAGUCACGUGUCACUGUAAAAAAAGGACGCUAUUGUCACAACAGUGUCAACGACGUAUAACGACAUAUACGCCUGCAGUUUCAACAGAAUUCUAUCGAAAUUCCUAUAAUUGCUGCUACAAUUCCAAGUGACUGCUUCGUAGAUUUGCUCUCUUGGUCCAUGUUGUAAUCUGCAGCUGCAAUUGCAAACCCGUGCUGGACCUUGUGUAUAUACAGUCGAUGCAGAUCUAUGGAUCACCGAGGAGUUGAUCGACGUACAUACCAAGUACUGGUGAGUGGUAUCACGCGUCUAUCGGGUUUCGUCCAGUAUCUCAACGACGUCUGCGUCGACGUCGUCGAACGAGAAGGAGGCGACCGAUGACGG